GUUGUAUGGUUAAGUGAUUAAGCGUAGACGGUGGAUGCCUUGGCAGUCAGAGGCGAUGAAGGACGUACUAACCUGCGAAAAGCGAUGGUGAGCUGGUAAGAAGCAUUUGAGCCAUCGAUGUCCGAAUGGGGAAACCCACCUGCAUAAGCAGGUAUCUUAGCGUGAAUCCAUAGCGCUAAGAGGCGAACUCGGGGAACUGAAACAUCUAAGUACCCGAAGGAAAAGAAAUCAAUUGAGAUUCCGGCAGUAGCGGCGAGCGACCCCGGAGCAGCCCUUAAGCGGYUUAGGCGUUAGGUGAACAGGUUGGAAAACCUGGCAAUAAAGGGUGAUAGCCCCGUAACCGACGGCGCCUUAGGCGUGAAAACGAGUARGACGRGACACGUGAUAUCUUGUCUGAAKAUGGGGGGACCAUCCUCCAAGGCUAAAUACUCCUGACUGACCGAUAGUGAACCAGUACCGUGAGGGAAAGGCGAAAAGAACCCCUGUGAGGGGAGUGAAAUAGAACCUGAAACCGUCUACGUACAAGCAGUGGGAGCCUCYUUURUGGGGUGACCGCGUACCUUUUGUAUAAUGGGUCAGCGACUUAAUGUAAGUAGCYAGGUUAACCGCAUAGGGGAGCCGUAGGGAAACCGAGUCUUAACUGGGCGACAGUUGCUUGCAUUAGACCCGAAACCGAGUGAUCUAGCCAUGGGCAGGUUGAAGGUUGAGUAACAUCAACUGGAGGACCGAACUCACUAACGUUGAAAAGUUAGGAGAUGACCUGUGGCUAGGGGUGAAAGGCCAAUCAAACUCGGAG
RNAcentral lists this ribosomal RNA (796 nucleotides) under Salinivibrio sp. ML323. RNAcentral describes it as "bacterial LSU rRNA". It matches the Rfam family "Bacterial large subunit ribosomal RNA", at positions 1 to 845 of the family's 2925-position model. The record is from RNAcentral. Lineage: Bacteria; Pseudomonadati; Pseudomonadota; Gammaproteobacteria; Vibrionales; Vibrionaceae.